UUUCUAAGGUUUAACCAGAUGGGCAGAUUCAACUUAUCAUUAAAGUUGCAAGUUAUAUUUUCAAGGAAUGCAUUAGCGAUCCUGUUUGUGCUAAAUGUCCAUUAAUAUCGAGGACUGAUGAUUGCAUGUUAAGACCAAAUUUAAUGCGUGUGUACUCUAAUAUGGAGAAUUCAGGACAUAUCACUGCAAGAAACACAGAAAGAAAUGCAUUGCAUGUAGUAAUAAAAAUGACUGAGCCUCCUUGGCUCUUCAUAAAACACCUUGGAUAAUUAUUGUUGAACAAUGUUGAAUCCACUGGCAGAUUUACAUUGGCAUCAGCCAUGUGAUAGCAAUUGGGCUUCUUACUUUGUGAACCCCAUCCUUCCAUACCAAUCGUCCAAACUCAGGCAUUAUUUGCCGAGAUUUUGUGGUGAAGGUUAUCUUGUAAGAAACUUUCUCGUUUUUGGAGGUGAAAUUCAGGGUUCUUGGUUCAACUUUAACAGUUGCACCAUUGAAUUUAGAUACUACUGCAUGGUAUGAUGAAACUGGAGGACCAACAUUGGUAACUGUUCUGUGAAGAGUCAAAAAAGAAAUGGAUGUAUUGUCUGGGAACACGACUGAAAUAGAUGGAUAAUUCAAGUCCCCUGGACUUGCAAGAGAUUUUUGGCAUUUUCUGUUUGCAUACUUGCCAAAAACUUUCAGCUGCGUUGGUGAAAGUCCUUGUGUGCAAAGAAAUUCAAAGUAAUCUUGGGCUUCAAUGUCAUAAAUCAGACCUGGGUCUAGAGCUUUCAAUGGAUUUAUGUGCCCCGCUCCAUGAUCAUAUGGGCUGGAAGGAGCAUUCACGGAGGCAUCUUGCAGUGGCUUUUGGGUAUUAUCAUGAACAUAAGCUGUUGUCAUCAGAGCUGAUUUAAUUGCUGCUGGACUCCAUUCUGGAUGCCUAGCCUUGAGCAACGCUGCAAUUCCGCUUACAUGAGGGCACGACAUGGAAGUUCCAGACAGAAUGUUAAACCUCACUCUACGAGGAUCUGUGGGCAAACCUGAUGGGCCUGUAUCACCAGUCCAAGCUGCGAUUAUGUUCACGCCUGGCGCAACAACAUCAGGCUUCAGAAUCUCAAGACUCAAGAAGUUUGGUCCUCUGGAUGAAAAUGCCGCAACCACUGGAGAUGGCCUAAUUCCUAACUUUGUACCAAGAGAAGCCAGAGUUGCUGUAGCAUUCCUACUUGUUAAAGCAUAAUGUUUGAUCAAUUUCCCUUCUCUUUCCCCCACAGCAACUGCUGGAAGUAGGUGACAAUCGGCAACAAGUUCUUCUCCAUUUGCUGCUGUAUUUGAUAAAAUCAUGCCUACUGCUCCUGCAUCUUUCACCACCUGGCCCUUUUGGACUCUUGGACUAAUACCACGGUCACAUAUCACAAUCUUUCCAGAAACAAUAUGUGGAUUCAGAGUUCCUUCCAAGCACAGAGAACUUGGAUCAGGACUGCUAGAGUUAGCACCCAUGUAAACCAGAGGAUAUUGCCUUUUUGUCAAAAGAUUCCUCCGGCCUUUAUAGAGUGAAACUCCAGUUACAGUUCUGCCGGUUCCCAGGUUGACGAUGGCGGGAAAAUCUCUAUCCAUUGUGCUGGCGCCAACUGUGGUUAUCCAUGGCGAUACGUUUGUGAGGCUGGCAGGGUCAGGUCCUCCAUUUCCAGCCGAGCAUGAAACAAAAAUACCCAUCUCCAUCGCCCCAAAAGCUGCUAUGGACAAGCUAUCACGAUAGUAAGAAGAAACCCCACCACCCAAAGAUAUUGAUAGUACAUUCACUCCGUCAGCCACUGCCCUAUCAAUUGCAGACAUAAUGUCUGAGCUGAAACACCCUCCAGCCCAGCAGACCUUGUAGGCAGCAAUUCUAGCACCAGGUGCCAUUCCUCUUGCUAUUCCAUAAGCGUAGCCCAACAGAUUUGCUCCAUGUACAGGAGAUCCAGCAACAGUAGCUGCUGUGUGAGUUCCAUGACCAUCUUGAUCUCUUGGGGAUUUAUACUCAUUUUGCUCAUUGAUUUUUCCAGUAGUAGCUUCAUAUCCCUUGUAAAAUGCUCUUGCUCCGACAAUUUUUCUAUUGCAAUGGUGUUCUUCAAAACCUCGGCCUGUCUCACAUGUUCCUUUCCAAUAAGCAGGCACUGGAGUCAUGCCUUUGUCAUUGAAGCUUUCACUUUCUGGCCAAAUCCCCGUGUCUAGCACUCCCACUACAACAUCAUGGUCUGCAAUUUUUUGAGACCAGACACUUGUGCUUACUUCUGGUUCUAGCCCAAGGAACACGGGGCUUCUAGUGGUGUGUAGUUGAUAGAUAGUCUCCGGGAAUAUAGCCAGUACACCAUCUGCCUCCUCUAGCCUCUCGGCUUCUUCUUCACUUAACUUGGCAGCAAACCCAUGAAAAGCAGCCUGAUAGCUAUAAAUUAUUCUCUCUUGACGGCCUGCAUUGGCUUCAUUUUCGGAAUUAGACAAUGCUGAUUUUACUUGCGAGGAGUACCAUUCAAGGUGAUUGGAGAAGGAUUCUGGCUUUGCAUGCUUAUCCAUCUGAAUAAUGUAAGUCUUUCUGGUGAAUGGAUUCUUUGAGGUGAGGACAACAUUGAAGGCCAGAUAGCUUGUUAGGAUGAAAAACAGCCAUUUUACAUUGUUUCCAGGCAUUAUUGGUUAAGAAAUUUGCUAUAGGAUGGCAAAGAAGAUGAAAGCUGGAGAGAAAAUUUCAGUGGAGACGGUGGAUUGAGGCUUGAAAUAUCGGAGAUAGAGGGGACGUUUACAAUGUCCUAUUGUGCAGGUAAUUAUGGAGGCAGUUGUUUCAUGAAUGCCAAUUGAAGAAAGGAAAGCAGGCUGGUGGCAGAAUUUAUUAAUUUGGUUAUGGUCCUCCUGUUUUUCUCAUUGACAUUGUUAAUGGGUUCAAUUCUACCGGCGCUUGUGAUCUUAGCAAAUCGCUCUCAACAGGUCACAGCAAAGCAAGAAUGAAAUUCUGAUGGUGAAAAUUAUUUUUGGUUUAGUGAAUCGUUAGCAUGAAUCUUGAUUCUUGAAAUUGUGGAAAGGAGUCAUGGUCUUAUGUAUGCUGAAUCCUUAAUUGCUGAUGGGGUCUUUGUACGCUAGGAUCUUAUCAUGUGGUUCCUACACUAACAGGAAGCAUGUACUACUACUGGUAUCUUACUAAAUUUAACUUGUGCUUAUUUCAAUGUUUU
This 3173-nucleotide unclassified non-coding RNA is filed under the name Hevea brasiliensis (rubber tree). Lineage: Eukaryota; Viridiplantae; Streptophyta; Magnoliopsida; Malpighiales; Euphorbiaceae. The record is from RNAcentral.